AUACUUACCUGGCAGGGGAGAUACCAUGAUCACGAAGGUGGUUUUCCCAGGGCAAGGCUUAUCCAUUGCACUCCGGAUGUGCUGACCCCUGCAAUUUCCCCAAAUGUGGGAAACUUGACUGCAUAAUUUGUGGUAGUGGGGGACUGUGUUUGUGCUCUCCCCUG
This 164-nucleotide small nuclear RNA is filed under the name Castor canadensis (American beaver). RNAcentral's name for it is "U1 spliceosomal RNA (ENSCCNG00000016671.1)". It matches the Rfam family "U1 spliceosomal RNA". Rfam says of the family: U1 is a small nuclear RNA (snRNA) component of the spliceosome (involved in pre-mRNA splicing). Its 5' end forms complementary base pairs with the 5' splice junction, thus defining the 5' donor site of an intron. The record is from Rfam by way of RNAcentral. Lineage: Eukaryota; Metazoa; Chordata; Mammalia; Rodentia; Castoridae.